GUCCUACGGGGGGCAGCAGUGGGGGAUAUUGCACAAUGGGGGAAACCCUGAUGCAGCGACGCCGCGUGAGUGAAGAAGUAUUUCGGUACGUAAAGCUCUAUCAGCAGGGAAGAAUAAUGACGGUACCUGACUAAGAAGCCCCGGCUAACUACGUGCCAGCAGCCGCGUCAAUACGUAGGGGGCAAGCGUUAUCCGGAUUUACUGGGUGUAAAGGGAGCGUAGACGGCUAUGCAAGUCUGAAGUGAAAUGCCGGGGCCCAACCCCG
Molecule: ribosomal RNA, 265 nt
Filed under: uncultured bacterium
Lineage: Bacteria
Description: partial 16S ribosomal RNA
Rfam family: Bacterial small subunit ribosomal RNA
Source: RNAcentral